Molecule: RNA transcript, 3424 nt
Organism: Dendrobium catenatum
Lineage: Eukaryota; Viridiplantae; Streptophyta; Magnoliopsida; Asparagales; Orchidaceae
Gene name: zinc finger BED domain-containing protein RICESLEEPER 2
Exons: 4
Source: RefSeq, a predicted model, not a curated record
GGCUCAACUAUUGUCAAGCCCAUAUUAAGAGAGCCCCGAAUGAGAGGCCGAGGCCGAGAUCUCCCCGUUUCUGCAUUUCCUUCUUCAGCCCUUACUUCCAGUCUAGGGUUUCCCCGGCGAAGCCCCAACCCAACAACAACGGCAGCAUAAAAAAUUAGAGAUCCAGGCCCGGAAUAUCGAACCUUUCUCCUUCCCGCCUUCGUCUUCACAAGACUUUCUAUAACUGGCCUAGCCAGUUAUCUGCUUGUGCAACUAUUUGUUCUUCAUAGAAUAUGGGUGGAGCCAGCGACACUGAAGAACAGCAGCUAAAUGCAGAAAUAGAAACAACGCCACAGCCCACAAGGCGCAGGAAAAGAAAGUCAAUGGUAUGGGAGCACUUCACCGUUGAAGCUGUGGCUGGAGGAUGUACAAGGGCUUGCUGUAAACUUUGCAAGCAAACCUUUGCGUACAGCACUGGUUCAAAGAUUGCUGGAACAAGCCAUCUCAAAAGGCAUAUUGCACUCGGAUCUUGUCCUAAAAUUAAGUCGCAGGACAGGAAACAGCUCGCACUCACUUCAGGCUUAAAGACUGAUGGGGAAAGCCCAGAUCCUCCUAAAAGGCGCUAUAGAACAUCUAGUUAUCUGAAUGCCCAAUUUGAUCAGGACAUUUGCAAUGAAAAUCUUGCAAAGAUGAUCAUUCUCCACGAGCUUCCUCUCCACAUGGUUGAGCACCUGUCUUUUGUGGCCUUUGCUCAAAGUCUUCAGCCACGCUUCAAGAUGCUAACUUGUGAAGCCAUUGAAGCAGAAAUCAUGGCAGUUUAUCAGAAAGAAAGACAUUAUCUCUUGCAAGUAUUUGGGACUAUGCUUGGAAGGAUUAGCCUUACUAUAGAGUUGUGGACGACCAGUCAGACUCUUGGAUAUGUUUGCCUUAAUGGACAGUUCAUUGACAGUGAUUGGAAGUUGCAUAAAAGAAUGCUAAACUUCAUGAUGGUAUCUUCUCCACAUUCUGAAAAUGCAUUGAGUGAAGUAAUUGGUAUUAGCCUUUCAGAAUGGAACUUGAAGGACAAGUUGUUCACUAUUACUUUGGACAAUAAUUGCUCCUCGCAUGACAUAUACAGUGCAAAUCUCAGAGAUCAUCUUUCCAACAAGAACACACUCAUGCUUAAAGGGCAGCUAUUUGUUGUGCGUUGCUACGCCAAUAUCCUCAACGUAGUUGCUCAGGAUGUCAUAGCUUCUAUUCAUGGGAUAGUCUACAACAUCCGUGAAAGUGUGAAGUUUGUCAAAGCCUCUCCAAUGCGUGAGGAAAAGUUUGCUGAAAUUUCUCUUCAGCUUGAGAUCCCAAGCACAAAGAGCCUCAGCCUUGAUAUUACAACGCAGUGGAACACAACGUACCACAUGCUUUUGGCAGCUCUGGAAUACAAACAAGCAUUUACUGUGCUGGAGACCUGUGAUGAUAAUUAUAAUGAAGCACCAUCACCUGAUGACUGGAAAAAGGUUGAAGUAGUUUGCUCUUACCUAAAGCUUCUUUUUGACUCUGCAAGUAUUAUCUUGGCUGCACCCGAUCCAACUUCAAACAUAUUCUUCCAUGAAGCAUGGAAGAUCCAGCUUGAGUUGGCUCAUGCUGUAGCUUGCGAUGAUGCUGUAGUAAGUAGUGUUGCAAAAGACAUGCAUGAGAAGUUUGACAAAUAUUGGAGAGAUUGCAGCCUUGUCCUGGCAGUAGCAGUAGUUAUGGACCCUCGGUUCAAGUUGAAGCUUGUUGAGUUCAGCUUCUCAAAAAUCUAUGGGGAAGAUGCUGCUAGGUAUGUCAAGGUGGUCAAUGACAGCAUUCAUGACCUCUAUGUCGAGUAUGUUGCACAGCCUCUUCCGCUGACUCCAGCUUAUGUGGAGUUGGGAGAAGCCAAUGCUAGCAUGAAUGGAAAUGAGGGGAAUUCUCUGACCACUCCACUUUCAGUCGUGGAUGGACUUCAUGACUUCGACAUUUAUAUAUCUGAAAUAUCAACUACCCAGAGUACAAAGUCGGAGCUGGAUCAGUAUCUAGAAGAAUCUCUAGUUCCAAGAAUUCAGGAGUUCGACAUCCUAAACUGGUGGAAGCUUAAUAAUAUGAAGUAUCCUACACUGUCCAAAAUGGCACGUGAUGUCUUGGCCAUUCCAAUGUCCAUGGUUAGUGGUGCUGGUGGCUCUUUAUUUGGCGCAGGAACUGGAAGUCGGGUUCUUGAUGAGUACAGGAGCUCCUUGCGCCCAGAUAUUGUUGAGGCCCUUUUCUGUGCGAAAGAUUGGUUGCAGUAUCUGCCAACCAUGAUGGAGCCACCAUCGAAUGCCCUUGUGAAAAUGGAAAUAUAGGUAAAGAUCAGAAUUCUAGAUUCUAUCUUGUUUCAUGAAACAAGACCAUCGGGCGUAUUGUAAACUGGAGCAAGAUUGUCCACCAAAAUGGCAGGCUUUAGAUAGGAAGUGCUUCCCAGGCAUUUCGACAUAGUUAUCAGGCCAUGCUAGGAGUUGCUUAGGAAGGGUCCUUGUCGCUUUCAUAUCCAGUAGCUAUAUUUCCUUGUGCAUCGGGGUUCUUAUGCGAGGAGUUUGCGUCUCUGCAUGCACAUCCGUUUUAUUUAAUGCACGAAUAAAAUUGUGUUGAUGGCCAUUUUGGUGACAUUAAUAUGGCUCUGUAUGUGUUUUUAAUAUCUAGCAAAUACCAUUGUGCGAUGUCGUCUAUUUAUGGCGGAUAUAGUUUCCAAAUGACAUUAAGAUCUCGGAUUGAGGCGUUCGUUCUAUCAUGCUGCUGGUGCGCUUAAGAUAACGUGUCCAAACAAUGUCUCGAGAAUAGUUGGGAAUUUCUGAAGCAAAUGUCGGAUUGGCUGGUCGGCCGCACUGGGAGAGAGAGUUGAUGGGCGGUAAGGCAGUUUGUUACAAUAUCUGGCUACUGCCAGGGUGAUGCACAAAAAAACUUCCGAGUUAUUUUCCAAUGUUGUCCGUGACACCACCACUCCUAAGAACAUGAACAUUUUGCACGUGGUUUCUUUAGGAGUAAAUACUUCCAGCAGUGCUAAAGGAAUUCAAAUCAGACUAUUAGAAGAUGGAUGCUUGGAAGCUUCUGCACCUAGCUUCCUUGGACAAGAUUUAUCUUUGGCCCCUCCCUCAUCCAGCAAAUCUGCCUCUCACAAUGAAGAUGAUGUCUGCUGGAAACUUACUAAUUAUGCUCUGGUAUGUUCUGAUAGCAGUAGUCCAUUAAGAACUCUCAUCACUCGUGGUGUCCUUCCGACCCCAAUCGAUAGGGACAGGCCUUGUUUGGAUUGCUUUCUAUGGUAAACAUAAACUAAAGAUAGCCUACAGAAGCCAUAUAUUGCCACUGAUAGAUUGGGAGCGUAAAUGUUAAAAAUCAGUAAAUCAAUCAUGAAUUAGAUGGGUGUAAGCAAAUGGGCUUAUAAAUGAAAAUAUCAAGAUGCUGCUAUCCCAAA